UCGAGGAGUGGCUUUCGGAGCUAACGCGUUAAAUCGACCGCCUGGGGAGUACGGCCGCAAGGUUAAAACUCAAAUGAAUUGACGGGGGCCCGCACAAGCGGUGGAGCAUGUGGUUUAAUUCGAUGCAACGCGAAGAACCUUACCUACUCUUGACAUCCUGAGAACUUAGCAGAGAUGGUUUGGUGCCUUCGGGAACUAAGAGACAGGUGCUGCAUGGCUGUCGUCAGCUCGUGUUGUGAAAUGUUGGGUUAAGUCCCGCAACGAGCGCAACCCUUAUCCUUUGUUGCCAGCGAUUCGGUCGGGAAUUCAAAGGAGA
This 316-nucleotide ribosomal RNA is filed under the name Providencia vermicola. RNAcentral's name for it is "bacterial SSU rRNA". It matches the Rfam family "Bacterial small subunit ribosomal RNA", at positions 832 to 1148 of the family's 1533-position model. The record is from RNAcentral. Lineage: Bacteria; Pseudomonadati; Pseudomonadota; Gammaproteobacteria; Enterobacterales; Morganellaceae.